Molecule: ribosomal RNA, 460 nt
Filed under: uncultured bacterium
Lineage: Bacteria
Description: partial 16S ribosomal RNA
Rfam family: Bacterial small subunit ribosomal RNA
Source: RNAcentral
CCUACGGGUGGCAGCAGUGAGGAAUAUUUGUCAAUGGACGAGAGUCUGAACCAGCCAAGUAGCGUGAAGGAUUACUGCCCUAUGGGUUGUAAACUUCUUUUAUAUGGGAAUAAAAUGUUCCACGUGUGGGAUUUUGUAUGUACCAUAUGAAUAAGGAUCGGCUAACUCCGUUCCAGCAGCCGCGGUAAUAAGGAUGAUCCGAGCGUUAUCCGGAUUUAUUGGGUUGAAAGGGAGCGUAUGUGGUUUGUUAAGUCAGUUGUGAAAGUUUGCGGCUCAACCGUAAAAUUGCAGUUGAAACUGGCAGUCUUGAGUACAGUAGAGGUGGGCGGAAUUCGCGGUGUAGCGGUGAAAUGCUUAGAUAUCACGAAGAACUCCGAUUGCGAAGGCAGUUCACUGGACUGCAACUGACACUGAGGCUCGAAAGUGAGGGUAUCAAAAAGGAUUAGAUACCCCUGUAGUC